RNAcentral lists this ribosomal RNA (2879 nucleotides) under Pseudomonas syringae CC1416. RNAcentral describes it as "bacterial LSU rRNA". It matches the Rfam family "Bacterial large subunit ribosomal RNA". Lineage: Bacteria; Pseudomonadati; Pseudomonadota; Gammaproteobacteria; Pseudomonadales; Pseudomonadaceae. The record is from RNAcentral.
AGCGCAUACGGUGGAUGCCUUGGCAGUCAGAGGCGAUGAAAGACGUGGUAGCCUGCGAAAAGCUUCGGGGAGUCGGCAAACAGACUGUGAUCCGGAGAUGUCUGAAUGGGGGAACCCAGCCAUCAUAAGAUGGUUAUCUUACACUGAAUACAUAGGUGUAAGAGGCGAACCAGGGGAACUGAAACAUCUAAGUACCCUGAGGAAAAGAAAUCAACCGAGAUUCCCUUAGUAGUGGCGAGCGAACGGGGACCAGCCCUUAAGUUGUAUUGAGAUUAGCGGAACGCUCUGGAAAGUGCGGCCAUAGUGGGUGAUAGCCCUGUACGCGAAAAUCCCUUUGCAAUGAAAUCGAGUAGGACGGGGCACGAGAAACCUUGUCUGAAUAUGGGGGGACCAUCCUCCAAGGCUAAAUACUACUGACUGACCGAUAGUGAACCAGUACCGUGAGGGAAAGGCGAAAAGAACCGCGGAGAGCGGAGUGAAAUAGAUCCUGAAACCGUAUGCGUACAAGCAGUGGGAGCCCACUUUGUUGGGUGACUGCGUACCUUUUGUAUAAUGGGUCAGCGACUUAUUUUCAGUGGCGAGCUUAACCGAAUAGGGGAGGCGUAGCGAAAGCGAGUCUUAAUAGGGCGUCUAGUCGCUGGGAAUAGACCCGAAACCGGGCGAUCUAUCCAUGGGCAGGUUGAAGGUUGGGUAACACUAACUGGAGGACCGAACCGACUACCGUUGAAAAGUUAGCGGAUGACCUGUGGAUCGGAGUGAAAGGCUAAUCAAGCUCGGAGAUAGCUGGUUCUCCUCGAAAGCUAUUUAGGUAGCGCCUCAUGUAUCACUGUAGGGGGUAGAGCACUGUUUCGGCUAGGGGGUCAUCCCGACUUACCAAACCGAUGCAAACUCCGAAUACCUACAAGUGCCGAGCAUGGGAGACACACGGCGGGUGCUAACGUCCGUCGUGAAAAGGGAAACAACCCAGACCGUCAGCUAAGGUCCCAAAGUCAUGGUUAAGUGGGAAACGAUGUGGGAAGGCUUAGACAGCUAGGAGGUUGGCUUAGAAGCAGCCACCCUUUAAAGAAAGCGUAAUAGCUCACUAGUCGAGUCGGCCUGCGCGGAAGAUGUAACGGGGCUCAAACCAUGCACCGAAGCUACGGGUAUCAUCUUAUGAUGAUGCGGUAGAGGAGCGUUCUGUAAGCCUGUGAAGGUGAGUUGAGAAGCUUGCUGGAGGUAUCAGAAGUGCGAAUGCUGACAUGAGUAACGACAAUGGGUGUGAAAAACACCCACGCCGAAAGACCAAGGUUUCCUGCGCAACGUUAAUCGACGCAGGGUUAGUCGGUCCCUAAGGCGAGGCUGAAAAGCGUAGUCGAUGGAAAACAGGUUAAUAUUCCUGUACUUCUGGUUAUUGCGAUGGAGGGACGGAGAAGGCUAGGCCAGCCUGGCGUUGGUAGUCCAGGUUUAAGGUGGUAGGCUGAGAUCUUAGGUAAAUCCGGGAUCUUAAGGCCGAGAGCUGAUGACGAGUGUUCUUUUAGAACAUGAAGUGGUUGAUGCCAUGCUUCCAAGAAAAGCUUCUAAGCUUCAGGUAACCAGGAACCGUACCCCAAACCGACACAGGUGGUUGGGUAGAGAAUACCAAGGCGCUUGAGAGAACUCGGGUGAAGGAACUAGGCAAAAUGGCACCGUAACUUCGGGAGAAGGUGCGCCGGUGAGGGUGAAGCAUUUACUGCGUAAGCCCACGCCGGUCGAAGAUACCAGGCCGCUGCGACUGUUUAUUAAAAACACAGCACUCUGCAAACACGAAAGUGGACGUAUAGGGUGUGACGCCUGCCCGGUGCCGGAAGGUUAAUUGAUGGGGUUAGCGCAAGCGAAGCUCUUGAUCGAAGCCCCGGUAAACGGCGGCCGUAACUAUAACGGUCCUAAGGUAGCGAAAUUCCUUGUCGGGUAAGUUCCGACCUGCACGAAUGGCGUAACGAUGGCGGCGCUGUCUCCACCCGAGACUCAGUGAAAUUGAAAUCGCUGUGAAGAUGCAGUGUAUCCGCGGCUAGACGGAAAGACCCCGUGAACCUUUACUAUAGCUUUGCACUGGACUUUGAAUUUGCUUGUGUAGGAUAGGUGGGAGGCUUUGAAGCGUGGACGCCAGUCUGCGUGGAGCCAACCUUGAAAUACCACCCUGGCAACUUUGAGGUUCUAACUCAGGUCCGUUAUCCGGAUCGAGGACAGUGUAUGGUGGGUAGUUUGACUGGGGCGGUCUCCUCCUAAAGAGUAACGGAGGAGUACGAAGGUGCGCUCAGACCGGUCGGAAAUCGGUCGUAGAGUAUAAAGGCAAAAGCGCGCUUGACUGCGAGACAGACACGUCGAGCAGGUACGAAAGUAGGUCUUAGUGAUCCGGUGGUUCUGUAUGGAAGGGCCAUCGCUCAACGGAUAAAAGGUACUCCGGGGAUAACAGGCUGAUACCGCCCAAGAGUUCAUAUCGACGGCGGUGUUUGGCACCUCGAUGUCGGCUCAUCACAUCCUGGGGCUGAAGCCGGUCCCAAGGGUAUGGCUGUUCGCCAUUUAAAGUGGUACGCGAGCUGGGUUUAGAACGUCGUGAGACAGUUCGGUCCCUAUCUGCCGUGGACGUUUGAGAUUUGAGAGGGGCUGCUCCUAGUACGAGAGGACCGGAGUGGACGAACCUCUGGUGUUCCGGUUGUCACGCCAGUGGCAUUGCCGGGUAGCUAUGUUCGGAAAAGAUAACCGCUGAAAGCAUCUAAGCGGGAAACUUGCCUCAAGAUGAGAUCUCACUGGAACCUUGAGUUCCCUGAAGGGCCGUCGAAGACUACGACGUUGAUAGGUUGGGUGUGUAAGCGCUGUGAGGCGUUGAGCUAACCAAUACUAAUUGCCCGUGAGGCUUGACC